Molecule: non-coding RNA, 6244 nt
Organism: Callithrix jacchus (white-tufted-ear marmoset)
Lineage: Eukaryota; Metazoa; Chordata; Mammalia; Primates; Cebidae
Source: RefSeq, a predicted model, not a curated record
CUACUGGCCAUAGCAUAAGGCGGUGCAACUACAGUCAUGUAGCACGUAAUGACAUUUUGAUCGAUGAUGGACAGCAUAUACAAAAGUGGUCCCAUAACAUUAUAAUACUGUAUUUUUGUAUGUGUGUGUGUGUGUGAGACAGAGUCUCGCUGUGUCACCAGGAUGGAGUGCAGUGGCACAAUCUCGGCUCACUGCAACCUCCACCUCCCAAGUUCAAGUGAUUCUCCUGCCACAGCCUCCUGAGUAGCUGGGACUACAGGUGCAUGCCACCAUGCUCAGCUAAUUUUUGUAUUUUUGGUAGAGUCAGGGUUUUGCCAGGUUGGCCAGGAUGGUCUCAAUCUCUUGACCUUGUGAUCCACCUGCCUCAGCCUCCCAAAGUGCUGGGAUUAUAGGCGUGAGCCGCUGCACCUGGCCUAUGAUGCUGUAUUUUUACUGUAUCUGUUCUAUGCUUAGAUGUGUUUAGACACACAAAUAGUUGCCAUUGUGUUACAACUGCCUACAGUAUUCAGUGCAGCAACAUGCUUUACAGGUUUGUAACCUAGGAGCAAUAGUCUGCAGCAUAUACUGUACGUGUGUAGUAGGCUACACCAGGUAGAUUUGCGCAAAUGCACUCUAUGAUGCUCACAUGGUGAAAUCGCCUAAUAAUGCAUUCCUCAGCUGCAUUCCUCAUCGAGUGAUGCACAGGUGUGGAACAUUUCCAUCAUUGUGGAAGUUCUAUUGGAUCACACUGGUCUAUACUUUUCCCAUUUCAUUAUACUGCUUCCCUUGCCCAUUCCCAAAUGAUAAGACACGGAGCCCUGUUCUCUAGAAGCUCACAGGCAACCAGGGAACCAAAGGUCUUUAAUACAAUGCAGAACUGUGCUGAGAUGCGUUAGAAAGAUGUGGAGAGCUUGCUGUGGGAGUUCAGCGGAGGAAACAAGUAUUUCCGGGAGAAAGUAACUUUAGUGGAACCUCGAAGAUGACAGGAUAGAGAAGAGAGUGCCAGGGGAGGCACGUGAACCUGAUGAAACAGGAUCAUUCCUUACUUUCCAGAAGAGAGAUUGUGGCUGGCCACUUGCUUCUCAGCUCUGUGAGUUCUCCCCAAAUUGAUUUAUUGAUUCAGUGCUUCUCAGCUCUGUGAGUCCUCUCCAAAUGGAUUUAUUGAUUCGGUGUAAUCCCAAUUGGAACCCCAGCAGGGUGUGUGUAUGUGUGUGUGUGUGUGUGUGUGUGUGUGUGUGUGCAUGCGUGCGUGCACGCGUGUGUGUGUGUACACUGGCAACUGUUAGUUGACUUUUUUUUUUUAGACGGAGUCUCACUCUAUCGCCCAGGCUGGAGUACAGCGGCGCAAUCUCGGCUCACUGCAACCUCUGCCUCCCAGGUUUAAGCAGUUCUCUGCCUCGGCCUCCAAAGUAGCUGGGAUUACAGGUGCAUGCCACCAUUCCUGAUUAAGUUUUAUAUUUUUAGUAGAGACAGGGUUUCACCAUGUUGGCCAGGCUGAUCUUGAACUCCUGACCUCGUGAUCCACCCAUCUCAGCCUCCCAAAGUGCUAGGAUUACAGGCGUAAGCCACCAUGCCUGGCCCUAGUUGGCCUCUUAAGUUUAUUUAUUUAUUAUUAUUAUUUUUUGAGAUGGAGUCUUGCUCUACUGUUCAGACUGGAGUGCAGUGGUGCAGUCUCAGCUCAGUGCAACCUUGGUCUCCUGGAUUCAAGCAAUUCUCCUGUCUCAGCAUCCUCAGUAGCUGGGACUAUAGGUGCCCACCACCAUGACUGGCUAAUUUUUGUAUUUUUAGUAGGGCUGCAGUUUCGCCAUGUUGGCCAGGCUGGUCUCAAACUCCUGACCUCAGGUCUCAAACUCCUGCCUCAGCCUCUGGAAGUGCUGGGAUUACAGACAUGAGCCACCAUACCUGGCUGAUUUGUUUAUUUAUUUGGUUUUAAAAUCAGGGCCUUGCUCUGUCCUCAGGCUGGAGUAUAGCGGUGCGAUCACAGAUUACUGCAGCCUCGAAUUCCUGUUCUCAAGUGACCCUCCCACUCUAGCCUACAGAGUAGCUGUAACUAUACACACCACCACACAUGGCUAAUGAUUUUAUUUUGUGUAGAGAUGGUGAUCUCACUAUGUUGCCCAGGCUGGUCUUGAACUCCUGGGUUCAAGUGAUCCUCCUGCCUCAGCCUCCCAAAGCAUUGGGAUUACAGCAUGAGCCACUGUGCCCAGCAUGAUUCCAGAAUUUAUAUGGAAAUGCACAAGAUCUAGACUAGCGAUGGUAUCAAAGAAAAACAACAAAGCUGGAGGACCUAUACUACUAGAGUUGAAACUUACUAUAAAGCUACAGCAAAUUAAGACCAGGUGGUUGUCAUGCAAGGUGAUAAAUAGACCAGCAGAAUAGUACAUAGGGGUUCAGAAACAGACCCUCAUAUACUAACAGACAGUCACCAGCUUUACAGCAGCGGUAACGCUAUAGUGCAGUGGGAAGCAGAUGGUCGUUUUAAUAAAUGGUCUUAGAAACUUUAAUUGCUGUAUAAAAGAAAAGGAACCCAUACCUCACACCAGAAAAAUCAGCUGGAAAUAGACCAUAGACUUAAAUUUGAGACAAAUGAAUCUUUUAGAAGGAAAUGUAGGAGAAUAUUUCAUGACCUUGGGAUAGGUGAAGAUUUCUUAAACAGAACACAAAAACCACUAAUUAGGGUUGGGCAACCUGCCUCAUGCCUCAUCCCAGCACUUUGAGAGGCUGAGACAGGGGGAUCACUUGAGCCCAGGAGUUUGAGACCAACCUGGGCAACAUGGCAAAACCCCAUCUCUAUAAAAAAUUAUCUUGGGAGGCUGAGGCAGGCAGAUCACAAGGUCAGGAGUUCUAGAUCAGCGUGGCCAACAUAGUGAAACUCUGUCUCUACCAAAAAUACAAAAAUUAGCAGGGCAUGUUGGCACAUGCCUGUAAUCUUAGCUACUCAGGAGGCUGAAGCAGGAGAAUUGCUUGAACCUGGGAGGCAGAGGUUGCAGUGAGUUGAGAUUGCGCCACUGCACUCCAGCCUUGGUGACAGAGUGAGACUCCAUCUCAAAAAAAAUUAUCUAGGCAUGGUGGUGCACACCUGUAGUCCCAGCUACUCCGGGCAGAGUGGGGAUGGGUUGAGCCUGGGAUGUCGAGUCUGCAAUGAACCAAGAUUGCAACCCUGCACUUCAGCCUGGGCAACAGAGUGAGACUGUCUCAAAAAAGAAAGAAAAGGAAAGAAAGAACUUAGAUCCCAAAGGUUCUAGGUGGGGAAAUUCUGAAGUUGUCAUCAUCCACAUGUGCAUAUUCACAUGGAGAUUAAAAAAAAAAAAAAACUCAAAAGACUUGUGGGCUGACAGGACAACUACAGAUUAAGAAUCAGUCCUUUUCAUUUGUUUGUUUGUUUGUGUUUGUUUGUUUAUAUGUUUAUGGAGAGAUGGUCUCAGUCACCCAGGCUGGAGUACAGUGACAUGAUAUAGCUCACUGUAACCUUGACCCCUUCUGCUGCAGCAAUCCUUCCACCUCAGCCUUCUGAGUAGCUUGGGACUACAGGCUCAUACCACCAUUCUUAGCUAAUUUUUAAAAAUGUUUUGUAGAGACAGGGUCUUGCUAUGUUGCCCAGGUUGGUCUCAAACUCUUGGGCUCAAGCAAUCCACCCACCUUGCCUCCUAAAAUGCCAAGACUAUACUGGCAUGAGUCACCACACCCGGCCUAGACUCAUAUAUGAUUUGCAAAUAUCUCAUCCCAUUCUGUGGGUUGACUACCCAAUAAUUAUAAUGAACAAAAGAGUUACACGGGCAUUUCGCAAAAAAGAAUAUAAAAAUGAACAAUAAACAUGAAAAGCUGCUCAAAAAUUUUUGUCAUCAGAGAAAUAUAAGUUAAAACCACAGAGAGGUGGGACGCGAUGGCUCAUGUUUGUAGUCCUAGAAUUUUUGGAGGUCAAGGUAGGUGGGUUACUUGAGCCCAGGACUUCAAGACCAUCCUGGGCAACGUGGGGAAAUCUUGUCUCUACUAAAAAUACAAAAAUUAGCUGGAUGUGGUAGUAUAUGCCUGGAGUCCCAGCUACUUGGAGGCUGAGGUGGGAGAAUCACCUGAGCCCAGGAGGUUGAGGCUGCAGUGGGCAGUGAUUGCACCACUGCUCUCCAGCCUAGGUGAUGGGAGUGAGACCCUGUCUAAAAAAAUAAAAUAGGCCAGGCAUGGUGGUUUACGCCUGUAAUCCCAGCACUUUGGGAGGCCGAGGCGGGUGGAUCACAAGGUCAAGAGAUCAAGACCAUCCUGGCCAACACGGUGAAACCCUGUCUCUAUGUUUAAAAAUAAAUAAAUAAACAAAUAAAAAAUAAACCAAAAAGAGAUAGCAUCACACACUCAUCCAGAAUGGCAACAGAAAAGGAACAAUUGGAACUCCUAUUUUUUUUGAUGGGAGCAUAUAUCAAUACAACCACUUUGAAAAAAUACUUGGCAGUGGUUACUAAAUCUAAACAUAUUGGCCCGUCGCGGUGGCUCACGCCUAUAAUCCCAGCACUUUGGGAGGCGGAGGCGGGUGGAUCACAAGGCCAAGAGAUCGAGACUGUCCUGGUCAACAUGGUCUACUAAAAAUACAAAAAUUAGCUGGGCAUGGUGGUGGGCACCUGUAAUCCCAGCUACUCAGGAGGCUGAGGCAGGAGAAUCACUUGAACCCAGAAGGCAGAGGUUGCAGUGAGCCAAGAUUGCCCCAUUGCACUCAAGCCUGGGCGACAGAGCAAGACUUUGUCUCCGCCCCCUUCCAAAAAGAAUGUUAUUUGCAGCCUUCUGCAUAAUUGCCUCAAGCUGGAAACAACCUAAAUAUCCAUCAACAUCUGAAGUUCAGAAACAGACAAAAUUAAUCUAUGCUGAUGGAAGUCAGAAUAGUGGUUUCCCUUAGGUGGCCACUGACUGAUAGGGUACACGAGGGAGCAUGCUGGGGUGCCAAAAAUGUUUCAUCUGUUGAUCAGGGAGGGUGGAUAUUGUGUGACUGUGAUAUAUGUGAAAAAUUCCUCCAGCUAUACAGCUGUCACCUUAUCAGAGAGGCCUUCCCUCACCACUUUAUUGGAAGUAGCAUUUUGCGUCCUACUGUCUUGCUGCCCUGAUCCUGCCUAAUUUCUCUUCAUAGUCAUCAUGACUACCUGUUAGUUGGCUCAGACUGCCACAACACAAUACUAUAAACUAGGUGCCUUUUUAAUUUUUUUUUUUUUUGAGACAAGGUCUGGCUCUAUUGCUUAGGCUGGAAUACAGUGGCUCACUACAACUUCUGCCUCCCAAGCCAUCCUCCCACCUGAGCCUCCCAAGUACCCCGGACUACAGGCGUGCACCACCAUGCCCAGUUCAUUUGUGUACUUUUUGUAGAGAUGGGGUUUUGCCAUGUUUCUCAGGCUGGUCUGAAACUCAGAAGCUCAAGCAAUCUGUCUUCCCACCCCUCAGGCCUCCCAAAGUGCUGGGAUUACAGGCCUGAGCCACUGUGCACAGCCAACUAGCUGGUUUAAACAACGUACAUUUAUUUUCUCACAGUUCUAGAGGCUGGGAAGUACAAGAUCAAGUUCUGGCUGAUUUGGUUUCUGGUGUGGUGUGGGCUCUUUCCUUGGCUUGCAGGGAGCCACCUUCUUGCUGUGUACUCACAUGACCUCUUCUCCAUAUGCUUGUGGGAGAGACAGCACUCUGGGAUUGCAUCUUAUAAAGCACUAGGGGGCAAUACAAGCAACACCUUGGAACAUUCUGCUGUUAGAAUUCCUGCCAUCAGAUUAGAGUUGACGCAGGAAGAUGAUUGCUCUCUGCUUUGGUUCUCCCACCUCUUCUGAAACUUUAAGCUCACAAAUUUGAGCCUUUUACCAAACUAGAGACAGAAACUUCCAUCAAAGGGAACAGGACUGGCUGGCUCAUGAAGUCUUGGAUCCAUUGCUUUUGAGUCUGUUGUGGACAAUGUACAUGGUUAGGGAGAUGGCAUGUGGCGAAUACAUUAUGAGUGACAAAUGGACAUCCCACAGGAGGAAAACUGAGGUGUAGACUUGGAUUUUGUUCAGAAGAGAAAAACGAUUUAGUAACACCAUCUUGCUAUGAUGUUGGGCUGAGAUCAGCAUGUGGUUGGAAGGUCCAUGGAGCCUGUGCAUAGAGAGGAGGACCUGUGGCCUGAACCCUAGGAGACCUGCACUGAAGUCCCAGAUUGUCCAGUGAAGUGCUGUGUGAUCCUGGGCAAGUUACUUCCCAAGUAGCUGGAAUUAAGGUGCCUGUACAAUUCAGCAGCAUUAAACACAUUCACAAUGUUGUGCAACCAUCA